GCCAUCUUUGACAUAGGUCGAUAAAGAAAUACAAAGGCAGACAGAUGUAUUCCAUACACCGAAGAAAGAUAUCAGAAUAUCACAGUCCUGCAGCUUGUCAUAGAGAAUCCUUAUUUCAAUGCACACCCAUCCUGUGAACUUCUUCACAGAAGUUCCCUGCGGUUUACAGCUGCCAUAAGGUUUUAGGCUUUGACCGAGAAAACCUUCUUUGCCCGUCCAUCAGCUCCGUGGUCAGUAUUACCGUCUCCCACAUGGAAGAGAGGAAAUUGUAGGCUGCUGAGAAGGCAGGGGAAAGGGAAACAUGUCACAAAUACACAUUAGUGACUCAUUUCCUCCACGCCCCCUUGGACACUAAUGACAUUAAAAACAAGAGAAAACAGCCACAACGCAGCAGCUCCGUGUUCAGAGGAGGGCUUGAAGCAACGUCACCUCACAGAAACCCAGCUAAGACAAAGAGCUGCAACCACAUAAGAUCAUCACAGCCAGGGCCAGAAUAGCAAGCGGUGCACACACACCCCGCCCCACCCCUCCAUUUGAAAAAGAAAAUUCCACAUGCGCCUCUCCCUGGGAGCAAAAAUAUUCCAUCUUUAUAUUUUAUAUUAACCUUUCACAUCCGUUCUCAAUCAUCUUUCCCCCAUGUUAAAAAGUCUGUUGGUUUUAACCGUUUUGUUCUACAUAUGAUAAUCCGUUUUCCUAAAAAUUUGAGUUGUCCCCUUUUUUUUUUGCAGUGUAUUAAAACUGCAAUCUCACGCAUGUCAACUUAGAAGUAAGAAGUAGACUGCAGCCUAAAUCACUUUAAUUCUUUUUUUACUGGAAAUAUGGUGCUCCAUCCCUCCCUUCCAGCCUCACUUUGGGUUGACACAGUAAAGAAUUUUGAAAAUCAAUAA
This is a long non-coding RNA of Elgaria multicarinata webbii, 887 nucleotides long. RefSeq lists it as uncharacterized. Lineage: Eukaryota; Metazoa; Chordata; Lepidosauria; Squamata; Anguidae. The transcript has 2 exons. The record is from RefSeq and is a predicted model, not a curated record.